UACGUAGGGGGCUAGCGUUAUCCGGAAUUACUGGGCGUAAAGGGUGCGUAGGUGGUUUCUUAAGUCAGAAGUGAAAGGCUACGGCUCAACCGUAGUAAGCUUUUGAAACUAAGAGACUUGAGUGCAGGAGAGGAGAGUAGAAUUCCUAGUGUAGCGGUGAAAUGCGUAGAUAUUAGGAGGAAUACCAGUUGCGAAGGCGGCUCUCUGGACUGUAACUGACACUGAGGCAAGAAAGCGUGGGGAGCAAACAGG
Molecule: ribosomal RNA, 252 nt
Filed under: uncultured bacterium
Lineage: Bacteria
Description: partial 16S ribosomal RNA
Rfam family: Bacterial small subunit ribosomal RNA
Source: RNAcentral